Molecule: ribosomal RNA, 656 nt
Filed under: Williamsia sp.
Lineage: Bacteria; Bacillati; Actinomycetota; Actinomycetes; Mycobacteriales; Nocardiaceae
Description: bacterial SSU rRNA
Rfam family: Bacterial small subunit ribosomal RNA
Source: RNAcentral
AGGCAGCAGUGGGGAAUAUUGCACAAUGGGCGCAAGCCUGAUGCAGCGACGCCGCGUGAGGGAUGACGGCCUUCGGGUUGUAAACCUCUUUCACCAGGGACGAAGCGAAAGUGACGGUACCUGGAGAAGAAGCACCGGCCAACUACGUGCCAGCAGCCGCGGUAAUACGUAGGGUGCGAGCGUUGUCCGGAAUUACUGGGCGUAAAGAGUUCGUAGGCGGUUUGUCGCGUCGUUCGUGAAAACUUGGGGCUUAACUCCAAGCGUGCGGGCGAUACGGGCAGACUUGAGUACUACAGGGGAGACUGGAAUUCCUGGUGUAGCGGUGAAAUGCGCAGAUAUCAGGAGGAACACCGGUGGCGAAGGCGGGUCUCUGGGUAGUAACUGACGCUGAGGAACGAAAGCGUGGGUAGCGAACAGGAUUAGAUACCCUGGUAGUCCACGCUGUAAACGGUGGGUACUAGGUGUGGGUUCCUUUUCACGGGAUCCGUGCCGUAGCUAACGCAUUAAGUACCCCGCCUGGGGAGUACGGCCGCAAGGCUAAAACUCAAAGGAAUUGACGGGGGCCCGCACAAGCGGCGGAGCAUGUGGAUUAAUUCGAUGCAACGCGAAGAACCUUACCUGGGUUUGACAUAUCACUAGAAAGCCAUAGAGAUAUG